AUGCCUUACACAUGCAAGUCGAACGGCAGCACGGACUUCGGUCUGGUGGCGAGUGGCGAACGGGUGAGUAAUAUAUCGGAACGUGCCCUGGAGUGGGGGAUAACUAGUCGAAAGAUUAGCUAAUACCGCAUACGAUCUAUGGAUGAAAGUGGGGGAUCGCAAGACCUCAUGCUCGUGGAGCGGCCGAUAUCUGAUUAGCUAGUUGGUGGGGUAAAAGCCUACCAAGGCAUCGAUCAGUAGCUGGUCUGAGAGGACGACCAGCCACACUGGGACUGAGACACGGCCCAGACUCCUACGGGAGGCAGCAGUGGGGAAUUUUGGACAAUGGGGGCAACCCUGAUCCAGCAAUGCCGCGUGAGUGAAGAAGGCCUUCGGGUUGUAAAGCUCUUUUGUCAGGGAAGAAACGGUUCUGGCUAAUAUCCGGAGCUAAUGACGGUACCUGAAGAAUAAGCACCGGCUAACUACGUGCCAGCAGCCGCGGUAAUACGUAGGGUGCGAGCGUUAAUCGGAAUUACUGGGCGUAAAGCGUGCGCAGGCGGUUGUGCAAGACAGAUGUGAAAUCCCCGGGCUCAACCUGGGAAUUGCAUUUGUGACUGUACG
RNAcentral lists this ribosomal RNA (600 nucleotides) under beta proteobacterium BPSI-4. RNAcentral's name for it is "bacterial SSU rRNA". It matches the Rfam family "Bacterial small subunit ribosomal RNA", at positions 44 to 639 of the family's 1533-position model. The record is from RNAcentral. Lineage: Bacteria; Pseudomonadati; Pseudomonadota; Betaproteobacteria.